UUUCUGCACACCCUCUCCAGCAUUUGUUAUUUGUAGAUUUACUAAUGAUGGACAUUCUGACCGGUGUGAAAGGCACUUCAUUGUAGUUUUGAUUUGCAUUUCUCUAAUAAUUAGUAAUGUUGAGUACUUUCAUGUGUCUUUUGGCCAUCUGCAUGUCUUCUUUGGAGAAAUGUCUAUUCAGGUCUUUUCCCUAUUUUUCAAUGGGUUGUUUGUAUUUUUGCCAUUGAGUUGUAUGAGUUGUUUGUAUAUUUUGGAGGUUAAGCCCAUGUUGGUUACAUUGUUUGAAACUGUUUUCUCCCAUUCUGUACGUUUUUUUUUUUUUUUUAUGGUUUCCUUUGCUGUGCAAAAGUUCGAAAGUUUGAUUAGGUCCCAUUGGUUUAUUUUUGUUUUUAUUUCUAUUGCUUUGUGAGACUGACCUAAGAAAACAUUUGUAUGGUUGAUGUCAGAGAAUGUUUUGCCUAUAUUCUCUUUUAGGAUUUUUAUGGUAUCUUGUCUUAGUUUAAGUCUUUAAGCCAUUUUGAGUUUAUUUUUGUGCAUGGUAUGAAGGUGUGUUCCAGUUUCAUUGAUUUACAUGCAGCUAUCCAGUUUUCCCAGCACCACUUCCUGAGGAGACUUGUCUUUUUCCCAUUUAACAUUCUUGCCUCCUUUGUCAAAGAUUACUUGCCCAUAGUUGUCUGGGUUUAUUUCUGGGUUCACUGUUCUAUUCCAUUAGUUCGUAUGUCAGUUUUGGUACCAGUACCAUGCGGUCUUGAUUACUGCGACUUUGUAGUAUUGCCUGAAGUCUGGGAGAGUUAUACUUCUUGCUUGGUCUUUGUUUCUCAGGAUUUCUUUGGAUAUUCUGGGUCUUUUAUGAUUACAUAUAAAUUUUUGGAUUGUUUGUUCUACUUCUGUGAAAAAUAUCAUGGAUAAUUCAAUAGGGAUUGCAUAGAAUUUAGAGAUUGCUUUUGGUAGUAUGAUCAUUUUAAUGAUAUUAAUUCUUCCAAUCCAGGAGCAUGGAAUAUCUUUCCAUAUCUUUGAAUCCCCUUUAAUUUCCUUCAUUAAUGUUUUAUAGUUCUCACAUAUGUCUUUCACCUCCUUGGUCAGGUAUAUUCCUAGGUAUUUAAUUUUUGGGGUGUGAUUUUAAAAGGUAUUGUAUUUUUACAUUCCUUUUCUAACAUUUCAUUGUCAGUAUACAGAAAUGCAACCAAUUUUUGAAUGUUAAUCUUGUAUCCUUCUACUUUGCUGAAUUCAUUGACCAGUUUGAGUAGUUUUUGUGUGGAGUCCUUAGGGUUUUCUCCAUAUAGUAUCAUGUCAUCUGCAUAGAGUGACAGUUUUACCUCUUCUCUUCCUAUUUGGAUACCUUUUAUUUCUUUUGUUUGUCUGAUUGCUGUGGCUAGGACUACAAACACUAUGUUGAAUAAAAAUGGUAAGAGUAGGCAUCCUUGUCUUGUUCCAGUUUUGAGUGAGAAAGCUUUCAGCUUUUCUCUGUUGAGUAUUGUAUUGGCUGUGGGUUUGUCAUAAGUGGCUUUUAUUAUGUUAAGGUAUGUUUCCUCUAUACCCACUUUGGUGAGAGUUUUUAUCAUUAAUGGAUGUUGGAUUUUGUCAACUGCUUUCUCUGUAUUUAUUGAGAUGAUUAUGUGGUUUUUGACUUUUGUUAAUUUGGUGUAUGACAUUAAUUGAUUUACAUCUGUUAAACCAUCCUUUGAGCUUGGAAUGAAUCCCACCUGGUCAUGGUGUAUGAUCUUUUUUAUAUAUUGGAUUCAGUUGGCUAAAAUUUUGUUGAGAAUUUUUGCAUCUAUAAUCAUCAAAGAUAUUGGUCUAUAAUUUUCUUUUUUGGUACUAUCUUUGUUUGGUUUUGGUAUUAGGGUGAUGGGUGGCUUCUGUCUUCCUGAACCUUUUAGAAAAGUUCCAGAAGGAUGGCAUAAGUUCUUCCUUGUAUGUUUGGUAGAAUUCACCUGCAACACCAUCUGGUCCUGGACUUUUGUUUGUAGGGAGUGUUUUUUAUGACAUAUUCAAUUUCAUUUCCAGUGAUUGGUCUGUUCAAUUGAUCUAUUUCUUUUUUAUUCAGUUUCGGAAGGCUGUAUGUCUCUAGAAAGUUGUCCAUUUCUUCUGGGUUGUAAAAUUUGUUGGCAUACAAUUUUUCAUAUAUUCUCUUAUCUUUUUUUGUGUGUGUAUUUCUGCAGUGUCCAUUGAGAUUUCUCCAUUUCUGUUUCUUAUUUUAUUUGAGUUCUUUCCUCUUCUUGAUGAGUCUAGCCAGAGCUUUCUCAAUUUUCUUUGUCCUUUCAAAGAACCAACUCUCAUUUGGUUUCUUUCUUUCUUUUUUUUUUUUUUUUGAAUCUCUGUUUUAUUAAUUUCCUCUUUGAUCUUUAUGGUUUCCUUCCUUGUACUGGCUUUAAGUUUUGUUUGUUCUUCUUUUUGUAAUUCUUUUAGGUGGUAAGUUAAGCUGUCAAUUUGAGAUUUUUCUUCUUUUUUAAGGAAAGCCUGUAUUGCUAUGGAUGUCCCUCUAAGCAUUGCUUUUGAGGCAUCCCACAGAUUUUGAAUGGUUGUGUUUUCAUUAUCAUUUGUCUUGAGAUAUUUUUUUAAUUUCCCAUUUUGAUUUUCUCAUUGAUCCAUUGUUUUUUUAGUAUCAUGUUGUUUAAUGUCCAUGUAGUCAGUUUUUUCUCAUUUCUUUUUUUGUGAUUGAUUUCUAAUUUCAUGCCAUUGUGGUCAGAGAAGAUAAAUGGUUAAUUUCUGUACUCAAAUUUCUUUUUUUUUUUUUUUUUUUGUCUUUUUGCUAUUUCUUUGGGCCGCUCCCACGGCAUGUGGAGGUACCCAGGCUAGGGGUUGAAUCGGAGCUGUAGUCACUGGCCUAUUCCAGAGCCACAGCAACUCGGGAUCCGAGCUGCGUCUGUGACCUACACCACAGCUCAUGGCAACGCCGGAUCGUUAACCCACUGAGCAAGGGCAGGGACCGAACCUGCAACCUCAUGGUCCCUAGUCGGAUUCGUUAACCACUGCGCCACGACGGGAACUCCUCAAAUUUCUUGAGGUUAGUUUUGUGGUCAGUCCUCGAGAAUGUACUGUGUGCACUUGGAAAGAAUUGAUAUUCCGAUUUUCUUGGAUGAAAUGACCUGAAAAUAUCAAAUUAAGUCUGAUUUUUCUAUUGUGUCAUUUAAGAUCUCUGUUGCCAUAUUGAUUUUCUGUCUAGAGGAUCUGUCCAUUGAUGUGAAUGGGGUGUUGAAGUCUCCUACUAUUAUUGUAUUCCCACCAAUUUCUCCUUUGAUGUUUGUUAGUAUUUGUUGUAUGUAUUUGGGUGCUCCUGUAUUAGGGGCAUAUGUAUUGACAAGUGUAAUAUCCUCUUCUUGAAUCAACCCUUUUAUCAUUAGUGUCCUUCUUUGUCUUUGUGGCCUUCACUUUUAAGUCUAUUUUGUCUGAUAAUGAGUAUUGUAACUUAUGCUUUCCUGUCUUUUCCAUUCUUGUGAACUAUCUUUUUCCAUCCUUUCACUUUCCAUUUAUAUGUGUCCUUUGCCCUAAGGUGAGUCUCUUGUAGGCAACAUAUUUUAGGCUCUUGUUUUUUAAUCCAGUCUGCCACUCUGUCUUUUGAUUGGAGCAUUCAGUCCAUUGACAUUUAAGGUAAUUAUUGAUAAAUAUGUAUUUAUUGCCAUUUUAAAUCUUGUCUUCCAGUUGAUUUUGUGUUUCUCCUUUGUUCUUUCCUUUUUCUGGUUGGGUUAUUUACUUAUAUUUUAUGCUCGUGUCUUCUUUUUAUUGUUUGGUUUUGAUUUGUAGUUGCCCUAUUUUUCAAGUAUGUUAACCCCUUCCUAUAUUUGCUUGCUUUACCCUGAUAGUCAUUAAGGUACAAACACAUUCUAGAAAAAAGUCUAGAUUUUUUUACUUUUUCCCCCACAUUUUGAUUUUUUUUUAACAUCUUCAUGUUUAUCCUUUUGCUGUUCCUUGUGUUUAUUGUGACUUUUAUAAUUUUUUUUUUCCUUUUAGUUCUGAAUACUGGCUUAUUUAAGUGAUUGCUUUCCAGUUGUGAUUUCGUCCAGCCUAUUUCUUCUUGUUUUUUAUUUAGUGGUGCCCUUUCAGUAUUUCUUUUAGAAUGGGAUUAGUAUUACUAUACUUUUUUUAGCAUUUGUUUGUUGGAGGAAUUAUUUAUUUCUCCUUCUAUUUUACAUGAUAUUCUUGCUGGGUAGAGUAUACUAGGCUGUCAAUUUUUCCCUUUUAGAACUUUGGAUAUAUCUUGCCACUCUCUUCUGGUCUGUAGUGUUUCUGUAGAGAAAUUGGCUCUUAGCCUUAUGGGAGUUAUUUUACACUUAACUCUUUGUUUCUCUCUUGCACACUUUAGAGUCCUCUCUUUAUCUUUAAGUUUUGCCAUUUUUAUUAUAAUAUGUCUUGGUGUGGACCUGUUUGGGUUCAAUUUGUUUGGGGCCCUCUAUGCUUCCUGUAUCUUGAUAUCUGUUUCCUUUAGAUUUGGAAAGUUUUCAUCCAUGGUUUCUUGAAAUAUAUUUUCAAUCCCCUUUUCUUUUUCUUCUCCUUCUGGAAUUCCUAUUAAGCAUAGAUUGGCCUUCUGUAUAUUAUCCCAUGGAUCUCUUAUAUUACUUUCAUGUUUUUUCAUGUGGUUUUCUGUCUGAUGUCCUGAUUGGGUGAUUUCCAUUAUUCUUUUUUCCAAGUCACUAAUUCGUUCCUCUGCAUUCUUCUUCUUCUUCUUUUCUUUUUUUUUUUUUUUUUUUUUUUUUUACUGUUGGGGAAAAAACAAACCUAGUUUUUUUUUUAUAAUGAUUUUUAUUUUUUCCAUUAUAGCUGGUUUACAGUGUUCUGUCAAUUUUCUACUGUACAGCAAGGUGACCCAGUUACACAUACAUGUAUAUAUUCUUUUUUCUCACAUUAUCAUGCUCCAUCAUAAGUGACCAGAUAUAGUUCCCAGGGGUAUACAGCAGGAUCUCAUUGCUUAUCCAUUCCAAAGGCAAUAGUUUGCCCUCUGCAUUACUCAUUCUGCUCUUCAGUGCCUUUAACUCAGUUUGAAUCUCUGCAAAUGAAUUUUCUAAUUUUUCUUGGCUCCUCAUAUUUUCUAAUUCCUUUCUAAUGUAAUCUGCAUUACUUUUCAUAUCCAUUCUUAGUUCCUUCAUAUUCCCCCUUAAUUCCUUCAGUAGUUUCACUAUCUCCUUUUUGAACUUGGUGUCUGUUAGACUCCAGAGGUCUGUUUCAUUGUUUGCUCCUUCAGGGGAAUUCUCCGGUUCUUUUAACUGGGAAUGGUUCCUGAGCUUCUCUAUUUUGCUUAUAUUUUUCUUAUUCUGUGAGUUCAGGGAAACCAAAUACUGUAGUCUUGGGGGGCUAUUUAUACACGAGAGUGCACCUAUGCAUUUUGUGAGUGCUUACUGUUUUAUUUUGGCAUGAGGUUUUGGAUGCUUGCUGUCUCUUUCCUUGGUGUGUGCAGGUUGUUAUCCCCUUGAUAGAGUGCUGUGCAUGCUUCCAGGGAGAUGGAGGCAAUGGGCAGGGCUAGUAGCCAGUGCCUGGUUGCUGGGUCCUUGACAGUAGCAAGGACCCACUAGAAGGUGGUGCAGGCUUCUCCUAGUUGCAGGGUCUCAGGCAGGUUUGGGUGGUACCUAGAACAUGUGGCAGUUGCAGUGGCAGGGUGUGUGCAUUCCUGGGGGAGUAAGAGCAACAGCAGGUUGUGCUUGGUUGCAGUGCCCUCCUCUGUGUUGACCUCUGAGGUGACUGGGGCCACAGGUGGUGCCUGUUCAUGGACCCCUAGUGGUGGCUGGCCACGCUCACCACUGGAAUCAGAGAUAACUGUGAGUGUUUGCCCCUGCUGCCUGUAAACCAUGUGAGAAGUGCCCCGUCAUGCUUAGCUCACACAGGAGGUACCACCAUCCUAGUUGGCACAGGAGGAGUCAUUGCCUGUAGCCCAUACAAGAGGCACCUUGCUGCCUGUAGGCCUGCCUUCCAGCAGUCCGUGCAUGCACAGAUAAAGACAUUCCUAUGAUGGUCUGCUCCUCCUACUCUUGCCCUCUUCAACAGUGAUGCCUUGCUUCUCCUGCAGGCCCAGACCUCCUCCUUCCUCCUGGGUUCUCUCAGCUUUGGUGCUCUGCUCCCCAGUUCCCUCAGGCUGUCUCCACACUGCCAACUCUAAUCCUCCCCCUGGAACUGACCUCCAGAGCCUGAGUCUCAGUGCCCAGCCCCUGCCCCAGCAUCUUAGAUUGUGGUUUCCAGGAGUGAUGGUACCUGUGGUCUGUUUGUGUGUGUCUCUUUCUCUCUGCUUUGACCUCCUCAGUCCAGCUGCUGUGCUUUUCUCUCUGGCUUUGAGGUCCUUCCAUCUCAGCUAAUCUCCUAGUCAGUUAGGUGGCUUCCCAGGGUGUGGGUUCCUUUUCUCUUUCACAGCUCCUUCUCAGCAGGGCUGGUCCCAUCCUGAUUGCUUUUUUCUCUCUCUGUCUCUCUCUCUCUCUGUCUCUCUCUCUUUUCUUUACCCUUUGUUCUACCCAGUUAUGUGGAGGGUUUCUUGUCCUUUUUUGAUGUUUAAGGUCUGCCAGCAUUCAGUAGAUGUUCUAUGCAAAUUGUUCAACAUGUAUAUAUAUAUUUUUUUGUCUUUUUAGGGCUGCACCCACGGCAUAUGAAGGUUCCCAGGCUAGGGGUCGAAUUGGAGCUGUAGCUGCCAGCCUGUGCCACAGUCAAAGCAAUGCAGGAUCUGAGCCAUGUCUACAACCUACACCACAGCUCACAGCAAUGCUGGAUCCUUAACCCACAGAGUGAGCCAGGGCUCGAACCCUCAACCUCAUGGUUCCUAGUUGGAUUCAUCUCCACUGCGCCAUGACGGAAACUCCUAAAUGGUUUUUUUUUUUUUUAAUGUGUUUGUGGGGGAAAGUGAGUGCCACGUCUUACUCCUCUGCCAUCUUGAUCCUACCUCCUUCUGCACAUUUUUUGAUUGAGGUUUUUGUUGUUGUUGAAUUGUAUAAGCUGUUUGUAUAUAUUGGGAUUUAAGCCCCUGUUGGUUGCAUCAUUUGCAAAUAUUUUCUUCCAUUCCAUACAUUGUCUUUUUAGGUUUUUUUUUAUGUUAUCCUUUGCUGUGUAAAAGCUGGUAAGUUUGAUUAAGUCCCAUUUAUUUAUUUUUGCUUUUACUUCUAUUGCCUUGCGAAUAAGAAAACUUUGGUACAAUUUAUGUCAAAAAAUAUUUUGCCUAUGUUCUCUUCUAGGAGUUUUAUGGUGUCAUGUUUUAUGUUUAAGUCUCUAUGCCAUUUUGAGUUUUUUUUUUUGUAUAUUUUGGAUAGUAACCCCUUAUCUGUUAUGUGAUUUGGAAAUGUUUUCUUCUGUUCUUAAGGUUGUCUUUUCAUUUCGUUGAUGGUUUCCUUUGUUGUGCAGGAGAAUUUUUAUGACAAUAGGACAAGUUCCUUUUAACUAGUACUUAGAUUUUAGUACUUGUUUUUAAACAGACAAAAACAAGGAAAAUGUACAGUACCUAGAAAGCUGGAGAAAUCAGGAGAAAACAGUUCUUUAGUGUCUAAUGCUCUUUCUUGUUCCUAUUGGCUAUAUAGUAGCAAAGUAAUAAAAACAACAAGGCCUUAAAAUUAAGAAUGACUUCUCCAUUGGCCAAGAUAAUAAAGCAGACAUUUGUGAAAAGCAGAUAGGGUCAGAAUGAUUUCUGAUGAAUCAGCCUCCAUUCAUUGUCAAUACCAGGUUCAUUAUCAAUACCAUUAAAAAUAGGUACUUGGUGUUUUGCUAGAAACGUGUGGCUGAGGCAUAUGGUGGCUUUAAGUUGCCGCUGGAGCAAAAGCUGCCACACUUGAAGGUGGUGUAAUAGAAAUAGGCUCAGGUGGAGUUCCCGUUGUGGCUCACUGGAUUAAGAACACAACAUAGUGUCCAUGAGGAAGUAGGUUCCCUCCCUGGCCUUGCUCAGUAUGUUAAUGAU
This 7858-nucleotide long non-coding RNA is filed under the name Sus scrofa (pig). RNAcentral describes it as "lncRNA (ENSSSCG00000061733.1)". Lineage: Eukaryota; Metazoa; Chordata; Mammalia; Artiodactyla; Suidae. The record is from RNAcentral.